RNAcentral lists this ribosomal RNA (342 nucleotides) under uncultured bacterium. RNAcentral's name for it is "bacterial SSU rRNA". It matches the Rfam family "Bacterial small subunit ribosomal RNA", at positions 27 to 395 of the family's 1533-position model. The record is from RNAcentral.
GAUUGAACGCUGGCGGCAGGCUUAACACAUGCAAGUCGAGCGGGCGUAGCAAUACGUCAGCGGCAGACGGGUGAGUAACGCGUGGGAACAUACCUUUUGGUUCGGAACAACACAGGGAAACUUGUGCUAAUACCGGAUAAGCCCUUACGGGGAAAGAUUUAUCGCCGAAAGAUUGGCCCGCGUCUGAUUAGCUAGUUGGCGAGGUAAUGGCUCACCAAGGCGACGAUCAGUAGCNGGUCUGAGAGGAUGAUCAGCCACAUUGGGACUGAGACACGGCCCAAACUCCUACGGGAGGCAGCAGUGGGGAAUAUUGGACAAUGGGCGCAAGCCUGAUCCAGCCAU